UACGACCCAAGACAAUUAGGUUUUUCAUAUCUCGCUCCUUUCUAGUUGUCAACUGGUGUGUAAGAAGAAUGUAGCCGUCUCUAUCUUUUCUUACGUUUAAUGAGGGAUUUUUUGUUAUGUAUUUUCUCCCGCAUUAUGUUUUUUCUCCCGCAUUAUAUAUUCUUUGUUCUGUGAUUUGGAAUUUAUGAUAUAAUUGUGAAAGUUUUCGUCUUAAUAUUUUUUCAAUAAAGAAAGUGGCGAUGAUGAAAAAAAGGCCGGACUUACGGCUGCUACCACUCUCUUACGGCUGUUUAAGUGGGUGUUGUAGUAGAAUGAUGCUAAAGUUUCCAAAGACAGCAUUUUUGCCGGCCUGUGACUGACCGAGUGCAGAAGCCGUACUUCGGCUUUAGCUCAAAAGAUGGGGUCUAAUCACUGGACUGAGGAUACCUUAUGACUGCGUUUCUCGUCAUGGUUUUAAAAGUUGUAGUUACCUUGGUUGCUGUUUACAUGACUUGAACAGAGGCUCAUAUUUAUGAUGAAAGAUGCGUCAACAACGGUGGAAAUUACAGGGCGAGGAGUUGCGCUCGUUGGUUUGUUGUUCUGUGUCUAUGGUAGCUUAUCACUUGUCUAAUGCGCCUCGUUACUUCGAGAACUAUAGCUGAAAAAUACUAGAUGAA
Molecule: long non-coding RNA, 656 nt
Organism: Brassica oleracea var. oleracea
Lineage: Eukaryota; Viridiplantae; Streptophyta; Magnoliopsida; Brassicales; Brassicaceae
Exons: 2
Source: RefSeq, a predicted model, not a curated record